GUUAAUUUAGGCAGUGUGUGAUUGAAUAAUUAUAAUGGUAUAAUUUUCUUUCAUUAGGAGAAAAUGUAUACUCUGUAACUUUGUACCUAGCAACCCAACAAAUCUAAUACCAUUAAAGAUCCUUUCUUUUUUCUGCACAUGAUUUCCCAGGCAGAGAAUCCAUUUUUAAGAUGCAGAUCUUCUUGGCUUCAAAUCUUUGGGUGAUCUCUCCUUUCCUUUAUACUUUCUAUUCUAGCACUUAGAAUGGUAAGAUGAUUAGUCCUGUAAUAAUGACAUCUAAAUUCUAAGAGACAGUCCAGUUCAGUGGAAAGAGCUGUAUUUGGAGUCAAUGGACCUACUUAGGUUUUGGUCUUCUGCUUACUACCAUGUGGUCCUGGGCUAUCAUUGGACCUCUUUGGGCUUUAGUUUCUUCUUCUGUAAAAUAGGGGGUUGGACUGGGUAAACUUGAAGGUUCUUUCUGGCUUUGAAUAUAUGAGCCUAUAGUCUUGGCUCUGACAGUAACUUUGAGUGUCUCUUCCCUGACACCAUCAAUUUCCUCAUCUAUAAUAGGUGAUAAUUGGACAACAGGAUUGCUAAAGUCCCUUCCGGCACUAACAUUCCACGAGUCUAUGAUUCUAUGCAGUAGACAUCCAGCAUACAUGGGGGCUAAUGAUAGGAAUGAAAAUCAAGGAAAAUGUUCACGUUUUACAAUGGUGGUGCUGAAAAGAGAGUCCAGGAAUCAUCAAGUUAUUUCUGCUAAAGUCCUGUCUUCCUUAACUGACUUGCCAGGGAGAUAG
Molecule: long non-coding RNA, 776 nt
Filed under: Monodelphis domestica (gray short-tailed opossum)
Lineage: Eukaryota; Metazoa; Chordata; Mammalia; Didelphimorphia; Didelphidae
Description: lncRNA (ENSMODG00000036299.2)
Source: RNAcentral